Molecule: ribosomal RNA, 497 nt
Filed under: uncultured bacterium
Lineage: Bacteria
Description: partial 16S ribosomal RNA
Rfam family: Bacterial small subunit ribosomal RNA
Source: RNAcentral
GACGAACGCUGGCGGCGUGCCUAAUACAUGCAAGUUGAGCGCUGAAGGUUGGUACUUGUACCCACUGGAUGAGCAGCGAACGGGUGAGUAACGCGUGGGGAAUCUGCCUUUGAGCGGGGGACAACAUUUGGAAACGAAUGCUAAUACCGCAUAAAAACUUUAAACACAAGUUUUAAGUUUGAAAGAUGCAAUUGCAUCACUCAAAGAUGAUCCCGCGUUGUAUUAGCUAGUUGGUGAGGUAAAGGCUCACCAAGGCGAUGAUACAUAGCCGACCUGAGAGGGUGAUCGGCCACAUUGGGAAUGGGACACGGCCCAAACCCCUUCGGGGGGCCGCAGUAGGGAAUCUUCGGCAAUGGACGAAAGUCUGACCGAGCAACGCCGGGUGAGUGAAGAAGGUUUUCGGAUCGUAAAACUCUGUUGGUAGAGAAGAAAGUUGGGGAGGGUGGAAAGCUCAUCAAGUGACGGUAACUACCCAGAAAGGGACGGCUAACUACGUG